GACGAACGCUGGCGGCGUGCUUAACACAUGCAAGUCGAACGGAAAGGCCUCUUUCUGGGGGUACUCGAGUGGCGAACGGGUGGGUAACACAUGAGUAACCUGCCUUUGACUUUGGGAGAACUUCAGUAAAGAGGGGCGAAUACCGGAUAGGAGAUCUAUCGGCACGGUGGGGGUUGGAGAGUUUCGGCGGUUGGGGAUGGCCUCGCGGCUUAUCAGCUUGUCGGUGGAGUGGUGGCUUACCAAGGCGUUGACGGGUAGCCGGCCUGUGGGGGUGACCGGCCGCCUUGGGACCUACGUGCGGCCCCGGCUCCUACGCGUGGCAGCAGUGCGGAAUCUUGAACGAGCGGUGGCAGCCUGAUGCAGAAGCGCCGUGUGCCGGAUGACGCUCUUAGGGUUGUAAACCGAAUUCGCUCAUGACGAAGCUUUGUGUGACGGUAGUGGGUAAAGAAGCACCGGCUAACUACGUG
Molecule: ribosomal RNA, 467 nt
Filed under: uncultured bacterium
Lineage: Bacteria
Description: partial 16S ribosomal RNA
Rfam family: Bacterial small subunit ribosomal RNA
Source: RNAcentral